Molecule: transfer RNA, 71 nt
Filed under: Ipomoea nil (Japanese morning glory)
Lineage: Eukaryota; Viridiplantae; Streptophyta; Magnoliopsida; Solanales; Convolvulaceae
Rfam family: tRNA
About the family: Transfer RNA (tRNA) molecules are approximately 80 nucleotides in length. Their secondary structure includes four short double-helical elements and three loops (D, anti-codon, and T loops).
Source: Rfam by way of RNAcentral
GGGUGUUUGGUCUAGUGGUAUGAUUCUCGCUUUGGUGUAAGAGGUCAUGAGUUUAAUUCUCAUAACACCCC